AUUGAACGCUGGCGGCAUGCCUUACACAUGCAAGUCGAACGGCAGCACGGGAGCAAUCCUGGUGGCGAGUGGCGAACGGGUGAGUAAAGUAUCGGAACGUGCCCAGUCGUGGGGGAUAACGUAGCGAAAGUUACGCUAAUACCGCAUACGAUCUAUGGAUGAAAGCGGGGGAUCGCAAGACCUCGCGCGAUUGGAGCGGCCGAUAUCAGAUUAGGUAGUUGGUGGGGUAAAGGCUCACCAAGCCGACGAUCUGUAGCUGGUCUGAGAGGACGACCAGCAAAACUGGGACUGGGACCCGGCCCAGACUCCUACGGGAGGCUGCAGUGGGGAAUUUUGGACAAUGGGCGAAAGCCUGAUCCAGCCAUGCCGCGUGCAGGAUGAAGGCCUUCGGGUUGUAAACUGCUUUUGUACGGAACGAAAAGGUUUGGCCUAAUAAGCUGAGCUCAUGACGGUACCGUAAGAAUAAGCACCGGCUAACUACGUGCCAGCCGCCGCGGUAA
RNAcentral lists this ribosomal RNA (500 nucleotides) under uncultured bacterium. RNAcentral describes it as "partial 16S ribosomal RNA". It matches the Rfam family "Bacterial small subunit ribosomal RNA", at positions 30 to 523 of the family's 1533-position model. The record is from RNAcentral.